GUGAGCUUAGCUCAGUUGGUAGGGAUAUUGCAUAUUAUAUGCAGGGGUUGGGGUUCGAAUCCCAGACACCUCACU
This 75-nucleotide transfer RNA is filed under the name Medicago truncatula (barrel medic). RNAcentral's name for it is "tRNA gene9191". The record is from RNAcentral. Lineage: Eukaryota; Viridiplantae; Streptophyta; Magnoliopsida; Fabales; Fabaceae.